Molecule: long non-coding RNA, 1189 nt
Filed under: Nicotiana benthamiana
Lineage: Eukaryota; Viridiplantae; Streptophyta; Magnoliopsida; Solanales; Solanaceae
Description: long non-coding RNA (NBEN_LNC020409)
Source: RNAcentral
UUUAAAAAAAUACACACUUAACUGAUCUAAAAUUUGUACUCUAAUAACAAUUCCACUAGUGUUAUUGCAUAAGACGUUAAACUUAAGCAAUUCAUUUGUCAGCCAGCUGACGAUCAAAACCGAAAUACAUAAGUGCGAAACAAUCAACACAACACAGUAUGUGUAUCUCGUAUGAAUAUUUCAAAUAAAAAUAGAAAAUUAACAAGAUACUCAAUACUAAAAACUAAAGAAAUAUAAGAAAAAGAAAAAGAAACAUUUUCAAGGUUAUUAAUUCCAUAUACUUACCUCAAGCACAAAAGAUCACAGCUGAAAUAGAUUCCAUUUUUAGAAGAAGAAAUCAUCAGAUACAAGUCACAUUUUGAGUCUUUUACCAUACUUACAAAUUCAAGAAAAGGGGCAAAAUUAAAAGAGCAAUAAACUAAAGAUGGCAUAUACAACCUUUCUUUUUUAGAACUAUGUAAAUUAAGCUAAAAAUAAGAUUCAAAGCUGCCAUUUUUCUUCACUUCAAGCAGAAAAGACAUCAUUAAUAGCUGCAACACCAAUCUCACUCUCAGUCCCAAAAUCUCCUCUUUUAAUGAUCAUCAGCUCAUUAAUCUUGGUUUCUCCAAUCGUCAUCUUGAUUUUAGAAGAAUACCCAUUAAAUUUCUGGCCCAAAACUGAUGAGAAAUAAGAGAAGAAUUGUAUUUCUUCUUCAGCACCAUAUUUUCUUGAAUUUGUUUAAAUGUUUCUGAUAUUAAUUAGAACAAGUUAUUCAUAAUAAUAAAAUUUUUUAUAUUAAUAAAAAACUCAAAUAUUUAUUUACAAAAUAGAGUAUGAAAGAAAAUAAAAUAACAUAGCAAUAUCAGCCAUAGUAGUAAUUAAAAGAGCUUUUUUCUUUUUUAAAUUUUGAGAAGUUGGGUUGUUUCUUUUGAGAGUUGUUUAUAAUUUGAAGUGUAAAGAAAUGUUUGUUUUGGACUAUAUAUAGGGAUAUAACCAAAUGGUGGAUUUUAGGUACACAUGAAAAUGGAUAAGGUUGCCAGGGGGAUACAUCCAAUGUGUGAGGAGUGAGGACUAUUAUUUUUAAGUGUUUUUUGUUGGGUAAGGUGAGUGGUUUUUGGACAAGACUUUGUGUUUGGUUUUGAUAAUUUUGAUGGUUUUAGAUAUGCCGUUAAUUUGUCACUUUUUCUUUUCCAAGUUGUUCCCAUUGUUU